GGGACAAAAAAAAUUUAAUUGAAUUUUCUUGAACGAUAACAAUUUUCAUGAACAGAUUGCCUAAAAGAGACCUUAAUUUGCAACUGUCGAAAAAAGAAAAAUUCCAUGCUAGUUGUUUUUGAGUCGACACUCGACUUCUUUGCCUUGGAGAAUUCUCUCCACAGCGUCAGGAGGAAGGCCAGUCAUGUCCAAAUUCAAUGAGCCCUCGCUGUGAAAGGAAGGAGCGGAGCGCUGUGCUAAGUUUAUAAGUCCGUCUCUGUCGAUUCAGUUGCAGUUAUUCGCCUUUCUUGCGAGCCAAAAGUUGUAGUUGUUCUUGAGGACUAAAGGGGAAACAUGGAAUGGCUUGUUGAGCAACUUUCACCAUUUGAGGAGGACUCUUCCAGGGGAAACACAUCCCACACUGGUACCAGCUUCAAGAGGCAGGUUUUUCUGCAGGAUGCUACUAAACGUGACCUGCGCAAGCUUACUCUUUGAAUAUGCCUUUGAACUAUUAUAUUUCAGCUUCUUCUGGGUGGAAUUCAGGUCAUUGGUGUCAACAUAGCCCAUGGAAUACAGAAUAGAAUUCCCAUUAACAAUCCGGCUUGGAGAGCCUUUUAGGAGAGAUGGUAGAAGCAAUAUAGAAAGCAAUGCGGGAGCAAAAUGGUUAACCUGCAUAUGUGCAUCAUACCCAUAUUUUGAAAAUUUCUGUGGCUCUUUUAUUGAUAAUAUUUCGGAGCUAUUGACAAGAACUUGCAGAUCAGGUUUCGAACGCGAAUUCCAUUGCUUGGCAAAUUUCACCACAGAGUUGAGGGAGAGCAGAUUCAGCCCCAUUGCCUCAACUUUGAGUUGGCCUGUUCAAUUCAAUUCGUCCUGCCAUUCAUCCUGGAUCAAAUCAUAGGCUAUGGUUGUGUUCCUUAAAGCCAUAAUCGCACGUGCCCUGGAGAAAGCCAAUUGCCUGGCUAUUUCAAGUCCAAUACCACAGGUUGACCCAGUUAUGAUACAGGUGAAAUCAUUGAGAGGAGGCUUUGAUCAUUAAUCACUGGAAGGACCUGGCUAGUUUAUAAGCUACUUGGCUCUUCUUGUAGCUUGAAGGACCCUUCAUUGCUAUGAUCAUUAAUUGCUUAUUUUCACUCCCAGCUGAUAAUGAUUUCUCA
Molecule: unclassified non-coding RNA, 1133 nt
Filed under: Hevea brasiliensis (rubber tree)
Lineage: Eukaryota; Viridiplantae; Streptophyta; Magnoliopsida; Malpighiales; Euphorbiaceae
Source: RNAcentral